Molecule: unclassified non-coding RNA, 366 nt
Filed under: uncultured bacterium
Lineage: Bacteria
Description: contains 16S-23S intergenic spacer region
Source: RNAcentral
UCCCCGUUGCCGAGGCGGUCUCGCAAGAAAAAUAUAACUUGCGACGAGGGUUGCGCUCGUUAAGGGACUUAACCCUACAUCUCACGACACGAGCUGACGACGGCCAUGCAGUACCUGUCACCGAUCCAGCCGAGCUGACUCCCACAUUUCUGUGGGAUACGAUCGGGAUGUCAAGCCUUGGUAAGGUUCUUCGCGUGUCAUCGAAUUAAACCACACGCUCCACCGCUUGUGCGGGUCCCCGUCAAUUCCUUUGAGUUUUAAGCUUGCGCUCGUACUCCCCAGGCGGGAUGCUUAACGCGUUAGCUUCGCUACUGAGCGGGUCGAUACGCCCAACAGCUAGCAUCCAUCGUUUACGGCGUGGACUAC